UGAAGAAAGUCAAAAGGCGGAAAAAGAUGAUUCGAUCCUACAUGUAUCUUUCAUGGUUUUCCUUAUUUUUCUUUAG
RNAcentral lists this non-coding RNA (76 nucleotides) under Cryptomonas curvata. Lineage: Eukaryota; Cryptophyceae; Cryptomonadales; Cryptomonadaceae. The record is from RNAcentral.